RNAcentral lists this ribosomal RNA (253 nucleotides) under uncultured bacterium. Its description in RNAcentral is "partial 16S ribosomal RNA". It matches the Rfam family "Bacterial small subunit ribosomal RNA", at positions 524 to 776 of the family's 1533-position model. The record is from RNAcentral.
UACGAAGGGGGCUAGCGUUGCUCGGAAUGACUGGGCGUAAAGGGCGCGUAGGCGGUUUGGUUAGUUAGGCGUGAAAUUCCUGGGCUCAACCUGGGGGCUGCGCUUAAUACAGCCAGACUAGAGUGCGAAAGAGGGUCGUGGAAUUCCCAGUGUAGAGGUGAAAUUCGUAGAUAUUGGGAAGAACACCGGUGGCGAAGGCGGCGACCUGGUUCAUUACUGACGCUGAGGCGCGAAAGCGUGGGGAGCAAACAGG